UGUUGGUGUGGUAAUAAUAUUAGAGCUGGCAAUCUUUCCUACUGAAUCUCUACUCUGAGUCAUGUUACCUGAGAUUAAUUCUAUGUUUACCUGUCAGCCUGGACACAUGUGCUGUGUGAAGGAUAACAGUUCUCCACAGUCACUGUCCACAUGGGUCAGUGGGACCAAGCAGCACUCUGCUAAUGUGGGACUCUGACCAGCAACAUCCAGCAAGACCCAGGCAGCGUUUUCUAUCUCCCAGCUGGAGUUUUUUGUUUGUCUGUGACUGGAGAGUCAGAUUUUUGUUGAGGCUGGAGGAACAGCCUCACACUUGCAGAGGUUAAUACACGCUACUGAUCCCUGAUGGGAGAAUCAUCACCUCUGCCAACAAAGAAGCCUGGUGGAUGUUUGUUUGCAGUCUGAUAAUGGGACAUCAUGCUGUGCAUCUUCAAAGUUUGUCUCUUGAUUAUUAUUCAUACACAGUAAUGUGAAGCAUGCUUAUAUCUAGUAUAACUGGACCAACCUGGUGCUCUUCAUUUAUGGAGGCUGUUGAGUCUGAAUGUUGGAUGUUGUGUAUCUCUUGUUCUCUGGGCUUUGUUGUCCUCAGUCUUUUUGCAGGAUCAGAAAACAAAAUCAGGAGGCCUGUAAAUGUUUCUUUUCCAGUUGGAUGAUGAUAAGACUGUGACACGGGAUGCCACCUUUAGUCUUGUGAUGAAGCAAAGCUCAGGAAGAAGUGUGAUUAAAUGGUACCCAAAU
Long non-coding RNA from Oreochromis aureus, 735 nucleotides. RefSeq lists it as uncharacterized. The record is from RefSeq and is a predicted model, not a curated record. The transcript has 3 exons. NCBI's taxonomy places the organism in Eukaryota, Metazoa, Chordata, Actinopteri, Cichliformes, Cichlidae.